CCUACGGGAGGCAGCAGUGGGGAAUAUUGCACAAUGGGCGCAAGCCUGAUGCAGCGACGCCGCGUGAGGGAUGACGGCCUUCGGGUUGUAAACCUCUUUCAGUAGGGAAGAAGCGAAAGUGACGGUACCUGCAGAAGAAGCGCCGGCUAACUACGUGCCAGCAGCCGCGGUAAUACGUAGGGCGCAAGCGUUAUCCGGAAUUAUUGGGCGUAAAGAGCUCGUAGGCGGUUUGUCGCGUCUGCCGUGAAAGUCCGGGGCUCAACUCCGGAUCUGCGGUGGGUACGGGCAGACUAGAGUGAUGUAGGGGAGACUGGAAUUCCUGGUGUAGCGGUGAAAUGCGCAGAUAUCAGGAGGAACACCGAUGGCGAAGGCAGGUCUCUGGGCAUUAACUGACGCUGAGGAGCGAAAGCAUGGGGAGCGAACAGGAUUAGAUACCCUGGUAGUCCAUGCCGUAAACGUUGGGCACUAGGUGUGGGGGACAUUCCACGUUUUCCGCGCCGUAGCUAACGCAUUAAGUGCCCCGCCUGGGGAGUACGGCCGCAAGGCUAAACUUAAAUGAAUUGACGG
This 567-nucleotide ribosomal RNA is filed under the name uncultured bacterium. RNAcentral describes it as "bacterial SSU rRNA". It matches the Rfam family "Bacterial small subunit ribosomal RNA", at positions 338 to 916 of the family's 1533-position model. The record is from RNAcentral.